Rhincodon typus (whale shark) is the source of this 1595-nucleotide long non-coding RNA. RefSeq lists it as uncharacterized. NCBI's taxonomy places the organism in Eukaryota, Metazoa, Chordata, Chondrichthyes, Orectolobiformes, Rhincodontidae. The record is from RefSeq and is a predicted model, not a curated record. The transcript is spliced from 5 exons.
AGGAGUCAGAAGCAAUGAAGCCACUUCACUGAAACAUGCAGGCUCUGUUCUGCAAUGGAAAUGCACGCUGGCAAUGAUAGUCCUGUAAUCUUGAAGGGUUUUAUUUUAAAAGAAAGGAAUUCCUUCAACACUCCCCAAACACAGGACAAAAUUUAAGACCUGCAUUGACAGAGGGCCUUUUCAGAAUCUCAGGACGUCCCAAUUCACCUCAGCCAAUGAUACAUGUAGUCAUUCAUUGUACUGGAGGCGACACGGUAGUAAUAUACAGAGAGUAAAAUCGCACACAUGAACCUGAGCAACAAGCAGUCAUUAGGAAACCGACACCAGAUUUGUUAACCGAAAUAAACAGGAGCACGCGUGGAGCGGGGACCUCUAAAGACUUGGACAAUACAGAGAGAGCGAGACAAUCUACAUGUCGUGAUGUUCCGAGCUUUCAUGUAGAGAAGGGGGAGGGACUGCACAACCUUGCUAGUUUAGACCUAAUGAAUUAAAUGCCAGAAACACGUACAGUGAAAAGUGGAUAAUGUCACCAUGUUCCGGUGCUAUUUUUGAUUACAGAAUAAAUUACUGAAUAAACUGUAUAAAUGGAGGAAAAGAGCACGUAAGGGCAGGAAGAGUCAAAAUGGAUGAUGGACUGCCUGAUAUUUGGCUCCUUACCACUUACGUGGAGAGCACCUUGACUUGGAUCACCCUGACCAGCUGACUGAUCAUGUCCAAGCCUCUAGACUGGUAUCGGAGGCUCCCUUAGCCUUACUGUGCCUGGAGCCUCUAACUGAAGGCUAUCUUCCUAGACUUGACUGAAGACUGCCGAGAACCAUAAUAAGCAGCACUGUGAUAUCUUUGGCUGAAGGACAAGUUGUGAAAAGGCAAGGCAGUAAUGCUGUAAGCAAACAACUAAGCUCAAAAUUACCUGCUCGUGGAUCUCACAUGGAGAUCCCAUAUGAAAUCCUCAUGGCCUUGGCACAACUCUGAAGGUAACUUGAAGAAGCCAACAAUUACAACUUCAGCAGGAACAGCAAUCUCCAAUGAUUGGCACACUAACCCCAAAGGGAGAAGGAGCAAGUGAGGACCCAGCAAGGAGGUGGAGGAGAUUGAUGAGACCCUGCUUAAAAGCUGGAUGAACACUGUAAAGUGUCAUAUGUAUUUCUUUCUUUUUAUACACUGUUAUCUUGUAAAUAAAAAUAGUAAUUUAACAGUUUGAAAAAGAGAUCCUGCAAAUCACAUGCUCUGGGUAGAAUUUAUUAAAAUAAGUAAAACUGCCAGAAAUCGGCAGAAAUUCUCAGAACUGUGGAGGUGUUCCUUGCACAAUACUGGCUACAGAUGGUUUAAUCUGUACAGAGACUAUGUUUGCCUUUGCAUGCCUCCUUCAGUCAGCUGCUGGUCUGUUUUACCGCUCUUGAACAGGAUCGAUUUUGCUUUGCAUGUGAAAUUAAACAAGGAUUAGUUGGCUAAAUUAAAGAUGAUUUAUGAUAACUUUAGAUAAAGAAAACAUUAAUCUUUAGCGUAACUGGUUAAAAAGAAAAGUGAGUAUCCAAGGCCAUCCCAUCUUCCCCCAUGACUUUAGGGCAGAACCAUAUGCUUUACAGGGAAAACUG